RNAcentral lists this ribosomal RNA (473 nucleotides) under uncultured bacterium. RNAcentral describes it as "partial 16S ribosomal RNA". It matches the Rfam family "Bacterial small subunit ribosomal RNA", at positions 29 to 507 of the family's 1533-position model. The record is from RNAcentral.
ACGCACGCUGGCGGCGUGCUUAACCCCUGCCAGUCGAGCGGUAAGGCUCCUUCGGGCGUACACGAGCGGCGAACGGGUGAGUAACACGUGAGUAAUCUGCCCUUCACUUCGGGAUAACCACCGGAAACGGUGGCUAAUACCGAAUACGACCAGUCUUCGCAUGAGGUGCUGGUGGAAAGUCUUUUCGGUGAAGGAUGUGCUCGCGGCCUAUCAGCUUGUUGGUGGGGUAAUGGCCUACCAAGGCUUCGACGGGUAGCCGGCCUGAGAGGGUGACCGGCCACACUGGGACUGAGACACGGCCCAGACUCCUACGGGAGGCAGCAGUGGGGAAUAUUGGACAAUGGGCGAAAGCCUGAUCCAGCAACGCCGCGUGAGGGAUGACGGCCUUCGGGUUGUAAACCUCUUUCAGUACCGACGAAGCGCCCUGUCGGGUGGUGACGGUAGGUACAGAAGAAGGACCGGCCAACUACGUG